GACGAACGCUGGCGGCGUGCCUAAUACAUGCAAGUAGAACGCUGAAGGAGGAGCUUGCUUCUCCGGAUGAGUUGCGAACGGGUGAGUAACGCGUAGGUAACCUGCCUGGUAGCGGGGGAUAACUAUUGGAAACGAUAGCUAAUACCGCAUAACAGUAGAUAUUGCAUGAUAUCUGCUUGAAAGGUGCAAUUGCAUCACUACCAGAUGGACCUGCGUUGUAUUAGCUAGUUGGUGAGGUAACGGCUCACCAAGGCGACGAUACAUAGCCGACCUGAGAGGGUGAUCGGCCACACUGGGACUGAGGCACGGCCCAGACUCCUACGGGAGGCAGCAGUAGGGAAUCUUCGGCAAUGGACGGAAGUCUGACCGAGCAACGCCGCGGGAGUGAAGAAGGUUUUCGGAUCGUAAAGCUCUGUUGUAAGAGAAGAACGAGUGUGAGAGUGGAAAGUUCACACUGUGACGGUAUCUUACCAGAAAGGGACGGCUAACUACGUG
This 495-nucleotide ribosomal RNA is filed under the name uncultured bacterium. RNAcentral's name for it is "partial 16S ribosomal RNA". It matches the Rfam family "Bacterial small subunit ribosomal RNA", at positions 28 to 507 of the family's 1533-position model. The record is from RNAcentral.